Molecule: ribosomal RNA, 422 nt
Filed under: uncultured archaeon
Lineage: Archaea
Description: bacterial SSU rRNA
Rfam family: Archaeal small subunit ribosomal RNA
Source: RNAcentral
CAGCCGCCGCGGUAAAACCAGCACCUCAAGUGGUCAGGAUGAUUAUUGGGCCUAAAGCAUCCGUAGCCCGUUUUGUAAGUUUUCGGUUAAAUCCAUGCGCUUAACGUAUGGGCUGCCGGGAAUACUGCAUAACUAGGAAGUGGGAGAGGUAGACGGUACUCGGUAGGAAGGGGUAAAAUCCUUUGAUCUAUUGAUGACCACCUGUGGCGAAGGCGGUCUACCAGAACACGUUCGACGGUGAGGGAUGAAAGCUGGGGGAGCAAACCGGAUUAGAUACCCGGGUAGUCCCAGCUGUAAACUAUGCAAACUCAGUGAUGCAUUGGCUUAUGGCCAAUGCAGUGCUGCAGGGAAGCCGUUAAGUUUGCCGCCUGGGAAGUACGUACGCAAGUAUGAAACUUAAAGGAAUUGGCGGGAGAGCACCA